UCUGUAAAGGUCUGUAAAUACAUUACUUUAUAACAGUUUCUAAAAUUUUUAGAAACACCCCUGUAUUCUAUUGCGAGCUGUAGGUGAUGUGCAAUCACUCCCAUGAGAUUCAAAGAAGAAAGAGAUUUUACACUUUUCGAUUUUAUCUUUUCGUUUGCGAGAUAUAUGCAUUUGAAUAGUGAUUUUGGUGGAAAAAAGUUGGGACAACUUAGCCCAGAAAAGAGUGGAGGUAGAUUACCGCCAAUCUCACUGUCAUGAAGUGAUAUAUAAAGAUAUAGAGAUAAGAUCUGUAAAGGUGUGUAAAAACAUUAUUUUAUAAAAGUUUCUAAGAUUUUUAGAAACACCCCAAUAUUCUAUUGCGAGCUGUAAGGUUAUAUGCAACCACUCCCAUGAGAUUCAAAGAAGAAAGAGAUUUUCCACUUUUCAAUUUUAUCUUUUCGUUUGCGAGAUAUACGGAUUUGAAUAGCGAUUUUGGUGGAAAAAAGUUUGGACAAUAUUGCCCAGAAAAAGGUGCAGGCAGUCAGCAGAUUACCGCCAAUCUCACUGUCAUGAAAUGAUAUAUAAAGAUAGAGAUAAGAUCUGUAAAGAUCUGUAAAA
Non-coding RNA from Paramuricea clavata, 597 nucleotides. The record is from the annotation of a GenBank genome assembly. NCBI's taxonomy places the organism in Eukaryota, Metazoa, Cnidaria, Anthozoa, Malacalcyonacea, Plexauridae.